AGUUGGUCCAACGCAAUUGGUUGCGUUUCCUCCCUUAAGACUUACAGCCCCGCGCGACAUCCGCUGCGGGGCUUUUUUUUGCGCCUG
RNAcentral lists this small RNA (87 nucleotides) under Skermanella aerolata. Its description in RNAcentral is "suhB". It matches the Rfam family "Makes More Granules Regulator RNA (mmgR)". Rfam says of the family: SuhB later renamed mmgR (makes more granules regulator) was a putative non-coding RNA found multiple times in the Agrobacterium tumefaciens genome and related alpha-proteobacteria. Other non-coding RNAs uncovered in the same analysis include: speF, ybhL, metA, and serC. Lineage: Bacteria; Pseudomonadati; Pseudomonadota; Alphaproteobacteria; Rhodospirillales; Azospirillaceae. The record is from RNAcentral.